This 305-nucleotide ribosomal RNA is filed under the name uncultured bacterium. RNAcentral describes it as "bacterial SSU rRNA". It matches the Rfam family "Bacterial small subunit ribosomal RNA", at positions 335 to 658 of the family's 1533-position model. The record is from RNAcentral.
AUCCUACAGGAGGCAGCAGUGGGGGAUAUUGCACAAUGGGGGAAACCCUGAUGCAGCGACGCCGCGUGAGCGAUGAAGUAUUUCGGUAUGUAAAGCUCUAUCAGCAGGGAAGAAAAUGACGGUACCUGACUAAGAAGCCCCGGCUAACUACGUGCCAGCAGCCGCGGUAAUACGUAGGGGGCAAGCGUUAUCCGGAUUUACUGGGUGUAAAGGGAGCGUAGACGGCCAUGCAAGCCAGGGGUGAAAGCCCGGGGCCCAACCCCGGGACUGCCCUUGGAACUGCAUGGCUGGAGUGCGGGAGGGGG